Long non-coding RNA from Rhinopithecus bieti (black snub-nosed monkey), 2364 nucleotides. The record is from Ensembl. Lineage: Eukaryota; Metazoa; Chordata; Mammalia; Primates; Cercopithecidae.
CAGGCUUCCUAGUCACCUCCAUUGGGCACAGCAGGAAGCCCCCAGGCUGGGGCAGGGGCAGGGGCAGGAGUUCAGAUGGAGACAGGCGGUUCAGCAGCUAAUGUCCCCAUUGUGAGAGGCGCUGCUUUCCACCAGUGUGUAGCACCUAGUGGUGGGGACACCCAGAAGGGCCUGGGUGGGAGACCCCCACACCUACUCCCACCUGCUCACUGACCUCCUGCCUGUCCCUAUGGGGGUCUCUAGCCACCUAUGUACAACAGAGGGGGAAUUAGACUGUGGCCACCCUCUCUAGAACUGCACCCCGUUCCUUUCUGCAGCAGGACGGGCUGGCCAAGAGCAACUGAUUGUGGAGGUAAGAGGCCGAUAGCUCUCGGGCAUGGAGCUGGUGGGCAUGGGGAUGGUGGGGCGUGGGGCAAGCCUCCGGGAAGGGACUGAUGAGAGGGCAGCGGGAGGACCAGAGGCGAUGAAGGGAAGGCAGGGCGGGGGUGGGGCGGGGCCAGCAGCAACAGAGACCCUAACCUGAGCCGCCCUGACCCCGCUCUCUGACCCCUGUCCAGGGACAGGUGCGUGUCGGACGUGAGCAGAGAGGACAGAGGCAGGUGUGGCCGUGGGCAGGGUGGCCCUCUAAGGUCCCCCGGAGUAGUGGGGGAUCUGUUUGCAGGACAGAGUCAUGGGAAGCCUGGGCCAGCCAGGGAGGUCCUGCCAGUGGGAAAGGAGGUGGCUGCUCCCACGGCUGGGCCAGAGGUGUCCCUGAUGUCCGUAGAUGGUGCUGGGAACCAAGAAAGCGGCUGCUCUUCCUCCUCCACACACGGAUCGAGGCCCUUGGCCCAGCUCCCGGGGACAGUGAGCUUGUCCCGCAGCUCGGAGAUGCUGCUCAGCAGGGCACCUCGUCAUUGGUCGUGCGCCUGCUCAGUCUGGGGCAGGGGCUGGGACAGCGUCUUUAAUCCCUGCUGCGGGAUUAGGACAACGUGGAGUGAUUCCGCAGCAGCCGGAGGCCGCGGCCGGGGACGUGAGACAGCAGCUGACGCCCAGAACCUCACAACCCCUGGACGCACAUUCUCCCAGGGCCGGUGCCUGGAAACAAAGGCCACCCCCCACCGGCCGGAAAUUUCUAGGCUGGCAAUGGAGAUGGGACAUCCGAUGACCCCCUCUGUAUCCUCCUCUCCCCUGGGGUCCUCCAAGAAGGCCUGCGUGGUCAAUGACCCACUUUGUUUUGUUUUGAGAUGGUGUCUUGUUGGUUUCCCAGGCUAGGGUGCAGUGGUGCGACCUCGGCUCUGGGGUUCCAGCGAUUCUCCUGCCUCAGCCUCCUGAGUCGCUGGGACUGCAGGUGUGCGCCGCCACGCCCGGCUAUUUUUUUUUUUUUUGAGACGGGGUCUCACUCUGUAGCCCAGGGUCGGGUGCAGUGGCGCUAUCUUGGCUCACUGCAAGCUCUGCCUUCCGGGUUCACACCGUUCUCCUCCCGAGCAGCAGGGACUACAGGCGCCCUCCACCACGACCGGCUAAUUUUUUUUUUUUUGUAUUUUUUUUUUUAGUAAAAACGGGGUUUCACCGUGUUAGCCAGGAUGUUCUUGGUCUCCUGACCUCAUGAUUCGCCUACCUCAGCCUCCUAAAGUGCUGGGAUUAAGGCGUGAACCACGCGCCAGGCCAAUUUUUGUAUUUUUAAUGGAGACAGGGUUUCACCAUGUUGGCCAGACUGGUCUUGAACUCCUGACCUCAGGUGAUUCACCUGCCUCGGCCUCCCACAGUGCUGGGAUUACAGGCGUAAGCCACUGCACCUGGCUUCAAUGACCCACUUGUCCACUGCCCUGCACUUAACAUCCUCAGGCAGCUGGAGCCACCUCCUGCAGGAAGCCCUCCCCCUAGCACCCACUCACCCACAGGCGGGGCUUCCCCUUGGGUUGCCAUUGACCUUGUGGUCGGCAGGGCACCCGGUGCUCCCAGGUGUGUCUCCCUGCGUGGCCCAUGGGCUUUUCUGGGUGGUGCUCAGAAAUGCUGCUGGGCAGUUUUACUCAAGUUUGUACAUAUAUGAUUCGAUGAGUUUGGCAAACAACCUAGCCAUCGGGACGCAUGAGAAUUCCUACUACCUUGGACCUGCAGCCACCCCUCUGCCUUCUGUGGCUACAGUUUCGCUUUUUCUGUAAUGUCAUAGAAAUAGAAUCAUACAGCACACGGCUUUCUGAGGCCGGAUUCUUUCACUUGGCCUAAUGUGUCUGAGAUUCGCGCACAUCUCGGCCACGCUCCCCAGCCCGCUGUGGUCACAGCUGAGUCGUGUUCCCUGUGUGGGUGCACCACAGCCUGUCUGUCCAGUCAGCACCCAAGGACAAAGGGGUUCUUUCCACUUCUUGGGUGUUACAAAUAAAGUGG